CUCUAAUUUCGGAUAAUGAAUAGAAACGACAAGUCAGGCGGCUAGUUUACAGUUACUGUGAUUAAUUUGCAAAUUUUUUGUUCAUUAGUAGUAAACACAAAAUGCGUGUAGUAAUUACAAAAAUAUUAUGCAAAUUAAAUAAUAUUUGAACAAGCAUGAAUUGUCAUCUGUGUUUUACUUGCAGCUUUUAUAAAUCCUACUGCUCACAAAUGCACAUUUUAUGGAGAAAAGGACCGGUUUAAAACGGACUAAAAUGACAAUUUUGUUAGGCUGUUAUUGGCUACAUAAUUUUUACCUAUUGCAGAAAAUUACAAAUAGAAAAUUAGCUAUUGGUCUGCUUACUCUACGCAACUAA
Bactrocera oleae (olive fruit fly) is the source of this 355-nucleotide long non-coding RNA. RefSeq lists it as uncharacterized. Lineage: Eukaryota; Metazoa; Arthropoda; Insecta; Diptera; Tephritidae. The record is from RefSeq and is a predicted model, not a curated record.